GUUCUAGGUGGUUGAGAUUCAGACCCUGACAGUUGUAACUGAUGGACUAGGCUGGGCACUGCUGAUGAACAUCACAUUCCUGACAGAAAAAUCAUCCAAAAGUAUUCUUCAGCUUUCUAGAAGUCAUUAUGAGGGGCCCUGACUAACUGAGGAGACUCAUACAGAAACCCUUGUCCCCAUCACAGAUACCUGGUUACCAUUUUCCUUCAAGAUGGCCAUCCUUGGGAGGAUUACCCUUGGGCCUCAGAGGAGAAAGAAAACCAAAAGGCAUAAACAAUAAAUUGAAAAUUGAAGGUGAAAGUCAAGUCUAAAGAUUUAGAAAAUCUCAGAUGACGUUCUCCUGGAAUCACCUAGCCUGAGGGGUGCGUCCUUAUGAGGUCAAGGCUUUCAGAGUUAGCACUUCAGUGGUGAAUACAGAAGACAAAAUUAGUACAGAUCAAGUAACCUGGAAAAGAAAAAAGAGACAGCACUAGAUACAGAAGUAGACAAGAGGAGGAGAAAACUCAGGCCUUGGCAAAAGCCACAUUACCGAACGGGGUCGCAGAGAGUGUCAGCUGGGGCCAGAUGAGAACAGCAGUCUGACUCAACAGACAUUUAUUGCACUCCUGCUGUAUGCCAAGAAAUGCACUGAAAUCUGGAAGUGUGUAACACAGGAGAAGAAAAGGCUUAUCGCCAAGGAGCCCUCACCUGGAAAGAGAGAUGGAAUCUCAGCCUAAGGUGGUGAAAUGUUGACAUGCUACCAGGAGGACAAAACAGCAGAGGACUAAUUUUUACUUCCUGUUGGCUCAAGCAGGAAACCCAAGUCAGACUGAUUCCUCCAUGUUUGACUUAUAACUUCGAGAGUGUCUAGCCAGGUAUUCUGAGUGCCAUCAAGCAAGUAACAGCUGGAGAACGUGCAGCGAAAGAAACCACACAACAAGGAGCCAAAUCACAUUUUUCACAUAUUACCGAACAACUUUAGGAUAAAUUGACACUUAACACAUUGCAGUCCGAUGUUUGCCACCGUGUCUGAUACACGGUACUGUGUGUAUAUCAUGCAGUUAUGUUCUUCACAUGACUGUUCACAUAAACUUAUUACAUUUUGGAACAGAUACAGCUAAAAUAAAUCUCUUUUGAAUUUUCAGCAGAAAAAUGCUAUUGGUUAAUACCAAUUAAUAUACGAUUAGACUAUGUGUAGUUGUUUUGGGCAUAUGACACUAAGGGUUCUGCACCUAGUUCCAACGUGUGAAUUUUUCCCCUCACACCAAGCAAUGCUCCAACACCCACUAGGCAUCCUACAAUUCAACUCAAUAGGUUUCUCAUGCUGUCUCUACAGAGAUAGUCCCACAAGACUGCCCUCCACUUCGCAUAGCUUUUGGCAAGUCUAGGCUUGCUACUUUUGCUUCUGACAGACUCAGAGGUUCCCAUGACACCCUCAUUUUUUCAUUCUAUUUUAUUUUAAUAUUUAUUUUUGAGAGAGAGAGAGAGAGUGCACAAGUGAGGGAGAGGCAGAGAGAGAGGGAGACAGAAUCUGAAGCAGGCUCUGGGCUCUCAGCUGUCAGCACAGAGCCUGAUGCAGGGCUUGAUCUCACGAACCGGAAGAUCCUGACCUGAGCCGAAGUGGGAUGCUUCACCGACUGAGCCACCCAGGUGGCCCCCCUCCUUGGUUUUGAUUAAUUUGCUGGAGCUGCUCAUAGAAGUCAGAAACAUUUUACUUACUAGGUUACCACUUUAUCAAGAAAGGUACAACUCAGGAGCAGCCAGAUGGAAAGACCUACAGGACGAGGUUUGGAAAAAAGGCUUAGAGCUUCCGUGUCCUUCCAGAGCAAGUCACCCACCCCAAACUGCCAUGGGUUCACACACCCGGGAGCUCUUCGAACCCAGUCCUUUUGGAUUUUUAUGGA
Long non-coding RNA from Neofelis nebulosa (Clouded leopard), 1883 nucleotides. RefSeq lists it as uncharacterized. The record is from RefSeq and is a predicted model, not a curated record. NCBI's taxonomy places the organism in Eukaryota, Metazoa, Chordata, Mammalia, Carnivora, Felidae. The transcript has 6 exons.